AGUGAACGCUGGCGGUAGGCCUAACACAUGCAAGUCGAACGGCAUCACAGUACGAGCUUGGUCUUACGGGUGGCGAGUGGCGGACGGGUGAGGAAUACAUCGGAAUCUACUUUUUCGUGGGGGAUCACGUAGGGAGACCUACUCUAAUACCGCAUACGACCUUCGGGUGAAAGCAUGGGAUCUUCUGACCUUGCGCGAAUGAAUGAGCCGAUGUCGGUUUAGCUAGUUGGCGGGGCGAAUGCCCAUCAUGGCGACGAUCCGUAGCUUGUCUGCGAGGAUGGUCGGCUUCACUGGAACUGGGACACGGUCCUGAGUCCUACGGGACGCAGCAGUGGGGAAUGUUUGACAAUGGUCGCAAGCCUGAUCCAGCCAUACCGCGUGGGUGAAGAAGGCCUUCGGGUUGUAAAGCCGUUUUGUUGGGAAAGAAAAGCAGCAGGUUAAUACCCCGCUGUUCUGACGGUACCCAAAGAAUAAGCACCGGCUAACUUCGUG
This 492-nucleotide ribosomal RNA is filed under the name uncultured bacterium. RNAcentral's name for it is "partial 16S ribosomal RNA". It matches the Rfam family "Bacterial small subunit ribosomal RNA", at positions 29 to 507 of the family's 1533-position model. The record is from RNAcentral.